GUGCCAGCAGCCGCGGUAAUACGUAGGUGGGAAGCGUUGUCCGGAUUUAUUGGGCGUAAAGCGAGGGCAGGCGGUUUCUUAAGUCUGAUGUGAAAGCCUUCGACUCAACCGAAGAAGUGCAUCGGAAACUGGGAAACUUGAGUGCAGAAGAGGACAGUGGAACUCCAUGUGUAGCGGUGAAAUGCGUAGAUAUAUGGAAGAACACCAGUGGCGAAGGCGGCUGUCUGGUCUGUAACUGACGCUGAGGCUCGAAAGCAUGGGUAGCAAACAGGAUUAGAUACCCUGGUAGUCCAUGCCGUAAACGAUGAGUGCUAGGUGUUGGAGGGUUUCCGCCCUUCAGUGCCGCAGCUAACGCAUUAAGCACUCCGCCUGGGGAGUACGACCGCAAGGUUGAAACUCAAAGGAAUGGACGGGGGCCCGCACAAGCGGUGGAGCAUGUGGUUUAAUUCGAAGCAACGCGAAGAACCUUACCAGGUCUUGACAUCCUUUGACCACUCUAGAGAUAGAGCUUUCCCUUCGGGGACAAAGUGACAGGUGGUGCAUGGUUGUCGUCAGCUCGUGUCGUGAGAUGUUGGGUUAAGUCCCGCAACGAGCGCAACCCUUAUUACUAGUUGCCAGCAUUAAGUUGGGCACUCUAGUGAGACUGCCGGUGACAAACCGGAGGAAGGUGGGGACGACGUCAAAUCAUCAUGCCCCUUAUGACCUGGGCUACACACGUGCUACAAUGGAUGGUACAACGAGUUGCGAGACCGCGAGGUUUAGCUAAUCUCUUAAAACCAUUCUCAGUUCGGAUUGUAGGCUGCAACUCGCCUACAUGAAGCCGGAAUCGCUAGUAAUCGCGGAUCAGCAUGCCGCGGUGAAUACGUUCCCGGGCCUUGUACACACCGCCCGU
RNAcentral lists this ribosomal RNA (892 nucleotides) under uncultured bacterium. RNAcentral describes it as "bacterial SSU rRNA". It matches the Rfam family "Bacterial small subunit ribosomal RNA", at positions 505 to 1397 of the family's 1533-position model. The record is from RNAcentral.